This 255-nucleotide ribosomal RNA is filed under the name uncultured bacterium. RNAcentral's name for it is "partial 16S ribosomal RNA". It matches the Rfam family "Bacterial small subunit ribosomal RNA", at positions 524 to 776 of the family's 1533-position model. The record is from RNAcentral.
UACAGAGGGUGCGAGCGUUAAUCGGAAUUACUGGGCGUAAAGCGCACGUAGGCGGCUUGUUAAGUCAGGGGUGAAAUCCUGGAGCUCAACUCCAGAACUGCCUUUGAUACUGGCGAGCUUGAGUUCGGGAGAGGUGAGUGGAACUGCGAGUGUAGAGGUGAAAUUCGUAGAUAUUCGCAAGAACACCAGUGGCGAAGGCGGCUCACUGGCCCGAUACUGACGCUGAGGUGCGAAAAGCGUGGGGGAGCAAACAGG